This 73-nucleotide transfer RNA is filed under the name Galaxias platei. RNAcentral describes it as "tRNA-Asp". It matches the Rfam family "tRNA". Rfam says of the family: Transfer RNA (tRNA) molecules are approximately 80 nucleotides in length. Their secondary structure includes four short double-helical elements and three loops (D, anti-codon, and T loops). The record is from RNAcentral. Lineage: Eukaryota; Metazoa; Chordata; Actinopteri; Galaxiiformes; Galaxiidae.
AAGACACUAGUAACAAUGACUAUUACACUGCUUUGUCAAGGCAGAGUUGCGGGAUAGAGCCCCGCGUGUCUUG